This 235-nucleotide ribosomal RNA is filed under the name uncultured bacterium. RNAcentral's name for it is "partial 16S ribosomal RNA". It matches the Rfam family "Bacterial small subunit ribosomal RNA", at positions 99 to 334 of the family's 1533-position model. The record is from RNAcentral.
CGGACGGGUGAGUAACGCGUGGGUAACCUGCCUCACACUGGGGGAUAACAGUUAGAAAUAGCUGCUAAUACCGCAUAAGCGCACAGUUCCGCAUGGAACGGUGUGAAAAACUCCGGUGGUAUGAGAUGGACCCGCGUUGGAUUAGCUAGUUGGCAGGGUAACGGCCUACCAAGGCGACGAUCCAUAGCCGGCCUGAGAGGGUGGACGGCCACAUUGGGACUGAGACACGGCCCAG